RNAcentral lists this long non-coding RNA (1273 nucleotides) under Equus caballus (horse). Its description in RNAcentral is "lncRNA (ENSECAG00000057670.1)". The record is from RNAcentral. Lineage: Eukaryota; Metazoa; Chordata; Mammalia; Perissodactyla; Equidae.
GAGUGUCUAUGUUAUUGCUAGAGACAGUUCAAGGCACAGGAGAUAGAAAAUGAACAAAAGUGGUAAAAUCCUUCUUCUCAUGAAGAUAUUUUAAUGGGGGGACAGAAUAAACAAAUUUCUAAGAAAAUAUAGGAUUAUGAAAGAGUGACAAAUUAAAGAGGGUAAAGGAGAGACAGCAUUUGGAGGGGAGGGAGCUAUUUAGAUGUAGUGAUCAGAGAAGGCCAAUCUAAGAGGACAUACUUUAGCUGAGACUCAAAUGUUGACAAGCCAGACAUGCAAAUAUCUCGAGGGAGACUAUUCCAGACAAAGAACAGUGGCAGAAAGAAGGUCAGUGUGGCUGAAAUAAAAUGAAUAGGACAAGUAGUAAGAAACAAGGUCAGAGAGGCAGGCAGGGUGCAGAUCCUUCUGGUUCUUUUAGACUUUGGUAAAAUCAGAUUUCAUUCUAAGAGCAAUGAAAAGCAAUUGAGGCUUUUAAGCUGGGGAAUGAUAAAUUCUGAUUUGUGCCUUAAAAGAUCAUACUAACCACUGUGUCACAGACCACAAAGGAGUAAAAGAUAAAGCAGAAAAACAGUGAUAAAUUCAAUUACAUUAAAAUUAAGAACUUUUCUUCAAAGACAGGAUUGAAAAACUAAAAUUAAAAGCCAAAGGACAAAUAUACCUGACAAAUAAUUCCUAAAUACAUAGACACAAUAAGAAAAAGACAAACAACUCAAAUAAAAAAUGAAAAAACUACUUGGAAAAGUACCUGACAAAAGAGGAAACCUGAAUGACAAGAUAGUCAGUCUCAUUAGUAAUCAAGGAAAUACAAGUUAAAUUUACAAUGAAGCAUCAAUUCACUGAGUUAACAACUAUCCUGCUUUCAUAAUAAUCACUCCCUUGCUUUUCUUUAAAUUUUACUACCUUCGAACAUAUUUUUUCUGUUUUGGAACUUUUCGUACAGGAAUCUUACUGCUUGUAUUCUUUUGUGAGUUGCUUUCUUUAUCCAACUUUAUGUUUUUGAGAUUCAUCCACACUAAUUACCGUAGUUGAAACAUUUUCACUGCUCCAUCAUUACUUGGGUAUGCCACUAUUUGCUUAACCAUUUUACUGCUAAUGGACAUUUGGGUGGUCCCCUUUCCUUCCUCCUCCCCUGUCCUUCUUUCUCUCUUUCUCCUCCUUCUCUCUCUUUUUUUGUUUGCUACUUAACAACAACAAUAUCCAAACAAGCUUGUACAUGUCUCAAAGUUCACAAGUGGAAGAGUUUCACUCAGAUAUAUACUGCUGAGCUGUAAUG